GACCUGAGCUCAGGCAAGAACACCCGCUGAACUUAAGCAUAUCAAUAAGCGGAGGAAAAGAAACUAACAAGGAUUCCCUUAGUAACGGCGAGUGAAACGGGAAUAGCCCAACUUGAAAAUCUCCCUUUGGAGAAUUGUAGUCUAUAGAAGCGUCCUCUGUGGCGGCCUGAGCCCAAGUCCACUGGAAAGUGGCGUCAGAGAGGGUGAGAACCCCGUCGGCUCUCGGCUUAGCUACUCCACGAGGUGCUUUCCACGAGUCGGGUUGUUUGGGAAUGCAGCCCAAAAUUGGAGGUAAAUCCCUUCUA
Molecule: ribosomal RNA, 305 nt
Filed under: Pleurastrum sp. CCCryo 194-04
Lineage: Eukaryota; Viridiplantae; Chlorophyta; Chlorophyceae; Chlamydomonadales; Pleurastraceae
Also listed under: 1 other name
Description: eukaryotic LSU rRNA
Rfam family: Eukaryotic large subunit ribosomal RNA
Source: RNAcentral